RNAcentral lists this ribosomal RNA (253 nucleotides) under uncultured bacterium. RNAcentral describes it as "partial 16S ribosomal RNA". It matches the Rfam family "Bacterial small subunit ribosomal RNA", at positions 524 to 776 of the family's 1533-position model. The record is from RNAcentral.
UACGGAGGGGGCAAGCGUUGUUCGGAAUUACUGGGCGUAAAGCGCGUGGAGGCGGUCGCUUAAGUCUGGCGUGAAAGCCCGGGGCUCACCCCCGGAAGUGCGCUGGAAACUGAGCGACUCGAGUGCCGGAGGGGAGGGUGGAAUUCCUGGUGUAGAGGUGAAAUGCGUAGAUAUCAGGAGGAACACCGGUGGCGAAGGCGGCCCUCUGGACGGAUACUGACGCUGAGACGCGAAAGCGUGGGGAGCAAACAGG